RNAcentral lists this ribosomal RNA (253 nucleotides) under uncultured bacterium. RNAcentral describes it as "partial 16S ribosomal RNA". It matches the Rfam family "Bacterial small subunit ribosomal RNA", at positions 524 to 776 of the family's 1533-position model. The record is from RNAcentral.
UACGUAGGUGGCAAGCGUUGUCCGGAUUUACUGGGCGUAAAGAGCGCGCAGGCGGUUGACUAAGUCGAAUGUGAAAGCCCCCGGCUCAACUGGGGAGGGUCAUUCGAUACUGAUCGACUUGAAGGCAGGAGAGAGAAGUGGAAUUCCCGGUGUAGUGGUGAAAUUCGUAGAUAUUGGGAAGAACACCGGUGGCGAAGGCGGCGACCUGGUCCGAUACUGACGCUGAGGCGCGAAAGCGUGGGGAGCGAACAGG